UUCAAUUAUAGCAUAAAUAAUGCAUUGAAUUUAGAAAUCAAAGAUGGUGUCGUUGUAACCUAAUUGUAA
This 69-nucleotide transfer RNA is filed under the name Liposcelis decolor. RNAcentral describes it as "tRNA-Leu". It matches the Rfam family "tRNA". Rfam says of the family: Transfer RNA (tRNA) molecules are approximately 80 nucleotides in length. Their secondary structure includes four short double-helical elements and three loops (D, anti-codon, and T loops). The record is from RNAcentral. Lineage: Eukaryota; Metazoa; Arthropoda; Insecta; Psocodea; Liposcelididae.